RNAcentral lists this ribosomal RNA (253 nucleotides) under uncultured bacterium. RNAcentral's name for it is "partial 16S ribosomal RNA". It matches the Rfam family "Bacterial small subunit ribosomal RNA", at positions 524 to 776 of the family's 1533-position model. The record is from RNAcentral.
UACGAAGGGUGCAAGCGUUGUUCGGAAUUACUGGGCGUAAAGGGCGCGUAGGCGGGUUUGUAAGUCGAUUGUGAAAUCCCUGGGCUUAACCCGGGAACUGCAGUCGAUACUGCAAAUCUUGAAUACCUGAGAGGAUGGCGGAAUUCCCGGUGUAGUAGUGAAAUACGUAGAUAUCGGGAAGAACACCUGAGGCGAAGGCGGCUAUCUGGCAGUGUAUUGACGCUGAGGCGCGAAAGCGUGGGGAGCAAACAGG